GUCUGCGGCACCAUCCUUGGAUACAAUAAGUCAAUUCAUUAAUGAUAAUUAGGUGGCGUGGUCAACAUCCCUGCCACAUCGUUCACAUAUGGCUUAUUGCGUGCUACACUGGUCCAACAAGUAGUGUAUUGGUUUCAUAUUAGCAUAGCUUCCCAAUUCAUAUAUGGAGUUCAGCAUAUCAGGAAAUAAGUGACCUUUCCCAAAUAAUGCAGUUGAGGGGACUUCUGUAUGUUACUUUUCGAAUAGCGAGAUGGAGGAUUAUUGAUAUAUGCACCGGACCAUGGAAUGAUUCACGUCGUUCAUCAAUCAAUGCUAGGCUCUGUAUUAUCCUAGAUAUUAGUACUUGGAUGUGUUCUUUUCUCAUGGAUGUCUUACCCAUCCUAAUAGAGACCAAUAAAUAAACAAAUGUGUCAGAGCCACAAGAGGUUGAUGAAGAUGGUGAGAAGGGAAAGGGAUAGAGUGGGCGCUAUGCGGAAGCGACGACAGCCUACCACCUAAAUGCUUCAAGGCAUCGUGUUCUAUUCGAGUAGCAAGUACAUUGACUUUCACACGUCUAGCCCCUUACCUGCAGUCCUUCAAGACAAGAGAUCUAAGUGUCGUCUUGUAGAACUCUUGCUGAAGAUUGACGUGGUGACUAGCAGAUCAAGAAAAAAAAUUCAUUAUGUUGUUUAUACAUAUCUGAUUGUAGUUACAUGCGACAACAAGUUUUAUGUAUGUCAAAAUCUCUGUAGGCAUCCGUUAUUUCAGUUGGAUUUAUGUAUGACAACAUGUGUAGUUACGUGUCACUCAUAUUUAUUUAUACAACAAUUAAUUUCAGUGAAAAACAGUGUGGCCAAAUAAUUCAAUUAGACGGAUCAAAUAUUGUCUUUGUUACUUCAUUCAAAGGCACUCAAUUUUACCAAGUAAUGUCCAAUUAAUACCUAACGGACAAUACCAGUCCUUCCCAAGAACUGUGUGUAGCAUUCCUAUGUAAAAAUAACUAGCUCGUUUUGUGUUCUUUUCUGCCGUUUCUCACAUUUCAUUGAUCCCAGCUAACUUCUAUUCAGAUUUUUGUGUUCUUCGUUCCCAGCUAACUGCUACUAGCCUCACCUAGACUCAAGGUUUUUUAGUCGACAAGUCGUACUGGGGUAGCAACUCUUCAUUCGUCGUGAUUAUUGAAGACUCGUGGUUGAUGAGUUGACAUGCGAUGAGUCGACACGAGUUAAGAAAUAGGUCUAAUAAAAUUACAAACCUGGGCAUCACUAAAAUUACCAUAGUAUAUCUAUAUAGUUAAUAAUAGUCUGUAUAUACUUAUUAAUAGUCUAUAAUAAAACAAAUUUGGAUGUAGAUCUAUUUCUACAGGUCAUUCUGAUUCACUACUUGCUUUUCAACAUUUAAUCUGUCAUUUAAGAAAAUUAAAUCUAAAAAAGUUGAAUUAAAUUAUCAAUUGUCUUUGUUUUGACUAGGUUGAGAAUCGCACGAAUUAGUCUAGUUUUUAUGUGUUAUUUAGUUUCAUGUUUUAGUCCUGCUUGACUUUCAACCGUUGUAUACUAGAUUGUUCAAUUACCAAUGGUUUAUAUUUGUUAUUAUUUUAAAUUAUCAUUAUAAUUCAGUCAUUAGUAUUGAAUUUUGUUAGCUCUUUUCAGCACCCUUAAUUUGGUCUGUGCACGUAGUUGUUAGCUCCGGCAGCGCCAAAUACUCCUAGAAGUUUCAAGACCACCAAGUACUCCUGCGGAGUCAUUAAUGCUCUUGGACACCGUUAUUUCACCAAGAACAUGAUCAUUGGGACAUGCCAAGCUGAUUGUAAAUUAUUGUAUUUUUUGUGAUACGAUGUAAUUGUAAAUUAUUUUAUUUUUGUGCAUAAAUAAUUGAUUGAUCGGCCUAUCUUAGAAACA
This is a long non-coding RNA of Hordeum vulgare subsp. vulgare (domesticated barley), 1874 nucleotides long. RefSeq lists it as uncharacterized. The record is from RefSeq and is a predicted model, not a curated record. Lineage: Eukaryota; Viridiplantae; Streptophyta; Magnoliopsida; Poales; Poaceae. The transcript has 5 exons.